CCUACGGGAGGCUGCAGUAACGAAUCUUCCGCAAUGGGCGAAAGCCUGACGGAGCAAUGCCGCGUGUAGGAUUAAGCAUCUUCGAUGUGUAAACUACUGUCAAUGUCUAGAAACAAUGAUCAGACAUAAAGGAAGGACCGGCUAAUUCAGUGCCAGCAGCCGCGGUAAUACUGAAGGUCCGAGCGUUAAUCGGAAUCACUGGGCUUAAAGCGUACGCAGGCGGAUUUGUAGGUAUCUUGUGAAAUCCCACGGCUCAACCGUGGAACUGCAGGGUAAACCGCAAAUCUUGAGACAAGUAGGGGUCAGUGGAACUAUGAGUGGAGCGGUGAAAUGCGUAGAUAUUCAUGGGAACGCCAAUGGCGAAGGCAACUGACUGGGCUUGUUCUGACGCUCAGGUACGAAAGCGUGGGUAGCGAACGGGAUUAGAUACCCUUGUAGUC
RNAcentral lists this ribosomal RNA (440 nucleotides) under uncultured bacterium. RNAcentral describes it as "bacterial SSU rRNA". It matches the Rfam family "Bacterial small subunit ribosomal RNA", at positions 338 to 795 of the family's 1533-position model. The record is from RNAcentral.